AAAUUGAAGAGUUUGAUCAUGGCUCAGAUUGAACGCUGGCGGCAGGCCUAACACAUGCAAGUCGAACGGUAGCACAGAGAGCUUGC
This 86-nucleotide ribosomal RNA is filed under the name Citrobacter freundii. RNAcentral describes it as "partial 16S ribosomal RNA". It matches the Rfam family "Bacterial small subunit ribosomal RNA", at positions 1 to 83 of the family's 1533-position model. RNAcentral also lists the same sequence under 17 other names. Lineage: Bacteria; Pseudomonadati; Pseudomonadota; Gammaproteobacteria; Enterobacterales; Enterobacteriaceae. The record is from RNAcentral.